GCGCCUGUAGCUCAGGUGGAUAGAGCAACGGCCUUCUAAGCCGUGUGUCAGGAGUUCGAGUCUCUUCAGGCGCACCA
Molecule: transfer RNA, 77 nt
Filed under: Odoribacter sp.
Lineage: Bacteria; Pseudomonadati; Bacteroidota; Bacteroidia; Bacteroidales; Odoribacteraceae
Also listed under: 1 other name
Description: tRNA-Arg
Rfam family: tRNA
About the family: Transfer RNA (tRNA) molecules are approximately 80 nucleotides in length. Their secondary structure includes four short double-helical elements and three loops (D, anti-codon, and T loops). Further hydrogen bonds mediate the characteristic L-shaped molecular structure. tRNAs have two regions of fundamental functional importance: the anti-codon, which is responsible for specific mRNA codon recognition, and the 3' end, to which the tRNAs corresponding amino acid is attached (by aminoacyl-tRNA synthetases). tRNAs cope with the degeneracy of the genetic code in two manners: having more than one tRNA (with a specific anti-codon) for a particular amino acid; and 'wobble' base-pairing, i.e. permitting non-standard base-pairing at the 3rd anti-codon position.
Source: RNAcentral